Kogia breviceps (pygmy sperm whale) is the source of this 312-nucleotide non-coding RNA. NCBI's taxonomy places the organism in Eukaryota, Metazoa, Chordata, Mammalia, Artiodactyla, Physeteridae. The record is from RefSeq and is a predicted model, not a curated record.
GAGGAAGUCAGCGGCCAAGGAGGGUGAACUGGAAGCAGUGAGAGAUCGGCGCUGCCCCUCAGCGCAAGUUCCCGAAAGGUAUCCCUAACUCAGAGUCCAAGUUUCCUGAGGAAGCUCUAGGGAACCGGGGCAGUUGAAUUCAAUAAGACAGUGCCAGCCCGACGGGGCCCAGCCAGGACCUACUCAGCAGCAAGGCAUUUCCCCUUUUCUCUCUGCUCUGCUCAAAUUUGGCGAAUUAAAAGUAGGAACGAGGCAUUACAGGAAUUGGAAGGAGUUGGUACAGACACUUUACAUGCAUUGCUUAAUCCAAUC